CUGGCUCAGGAUGAACGCUAGCGACAGGCUUAACACAUGCAAGUCGAGGGGCAGCACGGGAGUAGCAAUACAACUGGUGGCGACCGGCGCACGGGUGAGUAACGCGUAUGCAACCUACCUAUCAGAGGGGAAUAACCCGGCGAAAGUCGGACUAAUACCGCAUAAAACAGGGGCACCGCAUGGUGAUAUUUGUUAAAGAGAUUCGCUGAUAGAUGGGCAUGCGUUCCAUUAGGUAGUUGGUGAGGUAACGGCUCACCAAGCCGACGAUGGAUAGGGGAACUGAGAGGUUGGUCCCCCACACUGGUACUGAGACACGGACCAGACUCCUACGGGAGGCAGCAGUGAGGAAUAUUGGUCAAUGGGCGGGAGCCUGAACCAGCCAAGUCGCGUGAAAGGAAGAAGGAUCUAUGGUUCGUAAACUUCUUUUGCAGGGGAAUAAAGUGCAGGACGUGUCCUGUUUUGUAUGUACCCUGAGAAUAAGGAUCGGCUAACUCCGUGCCAGCAGCGGC
Molecule: ribosomal RNA, 509 nt
Filed under: uncultured bacterium
Lineage: Bacteria
Description: bacterial SSU rRNA
Rfam family: Bacterial small subunit ribosomal RNA
Source: RNAcentral